Molecule: ribosomal RNA, 254 nt
Filed under: uncultured bacterium
Lineage: Bacteria
Description: partial 16S ribosomal RNA
Rfam family: Bacterial small subunit ribosomal RNA
Source: RNAcentral
GACGUAGGGUCCAAGCGUUGUCCGGAUUUACUGGGCGUAAAGAGCGCGUAGGCGGCUUGAUAAGUGUGAUGUGAAAUCUCCAGGGCUUAACCCGGAAACUGCACCGCAGACUGUCAGGCUUGAGGACUGGAGAGGAGACUGGAAUUCAUGGUGUAGCAGUGAAAUGCGUAGAGAUCAUGAGGAAGACCAGUGGCGAAGGCGGGUCUCUGGACAGUUCCUGACACUGAGGCACGAAGGCCAGGGGAGCAAACGGG